RNAcentral lists this long non-coding RNA (4496 nucleotides) under Ananas comosus (pineapple). RNAcentral describes it as "long non-coding RNA (ACOM_LNC031976)". The record is from RNAcentral. Lineage: Eukaryota; Viridiplantae; Streptophyta; Magnoliopsida; Poales; Bromeliaceae.
UUUAACUCCUACUUUUUAUACUCGAGUUUUAACAGUUAAUAACUUUUAUUAAAUUUUAUGAUUAAUUAGCUACUAGCAGUUAGUUAAUUUCAAUUUUAUUUCCUAUAACAUAACAUAGUUUAAACUAGUGAAUUUGAUAGGAUUAUAAAUCAGCUUGUUAAAAUUAUCAAUUUAUUUGGCCACAAUCAGUUGAUGCCCAUCAAAAUUUGUAAGUCUAUGGAACUUCAAGCUAUUUUAAAGCGGCCAAUAGGUCCCUCAACAUUGAAACGAUAGAAAAGUAGUACUACAAAGAGUCAAAAUUGCACCUUCAAGGAAAAUGCGCCUAAACAUAAUCUAAACCACCAUUCCUCUUUAAUACUAGGCCUCGUCACAUGCGAACUGGGUCCAGCUAUUACGCAGGACAGAGCCAACUGAUACUGUUAGUAGGUAUCCGUAGCCAACACGCUUUGCCAGAUUAGGAAUAGUUCACAAAAUCUUACGUGACUUCAUAUUUGCCGUGAUUUGGUAGUUAGUUGUAUCUCCCAGUCUGGUGGGCCGUGACAGCAACUUAGUUCGAUUAGGGUUAGGGUUUUAAUUAUAAUGAUGAUAAGGUUGGCAUGGUCGAUGGUUUUGAGUCCUUAGUUUCCAUUGUUACGAAACCCAAGUCGACAACCCAAGAUACUAAUCAACCCUACUAAGGAGCAGUUUAGUUGUAUAUAGUUGUAAUUACACCGUAAUUCUAAUUGCAUACAAAUAUAAAUUUGAUGUUUGUUUGUUAUAUUUAACUCCAACUGCUGCAGUAAUAACUACUAACUGCAGGAGGAGGUCCAACCACAGCAAUUUGAACUACGCUCAAAUUAUCCGUAGUUUCAACUACAAAAGCUAGAGAGAGUAACUUUAAGUAAAAGGUAAGCUUGCCUUCCUAAUUAACUUUUAAACAAAACAUAUAUAUAGAGUGAGGCUACUAUGCUAUCGAAAGCACGGAGCCUUCCGUGCUUCCACCUCGUUUUCAAUGUUGUGACUUUCGAAUCUUCGAUCGGCUCCGUUAAACUUGAUCUAGAGUAUUUGAAGUACCUAGAAAAUAAAUUUUAUGAUUUUACGAUAUCAUUUGCCUAGUGAACGAAGGAGCUCAAAAUCAACGGCUGAAAAUAAAAAUCUUACAAAAUAUAAUAAUAUGACAUUAAAAUUUUAAAUCAAAGAUAUUGAUCUUGUUUUAUAUAGUAUAAAGAAUUUUCCAUCAAAAUUUCACGUGAUUUGGAUAUUUCUACACCGUUAAACUUGCAAACGGCUCACUACGGCCAUCGAAAUUUGUUGAUUUUGAGCCCAUUCGAUCACUAGGCAAAUGAUAUCGAAAAAUAAUAAAAUUUAUUUUCUANGGCUCCGUUAGACUUGAUCUAGCGUAUUUGAAGUUUCUAGAAAAUAAUUUUUGUGAUUUUUUGAUAUCAUUUACCUAACAAUCGAAAGAUUCAAAAUCAAUAAUUUUUAACGGUUGAAAAUAAAAAUCCUAUAAAAAGUGGUGAUAUAGCACUAAAAUUUUCGAUCAAAAAUAUUGAUCUUGCUGUAAAUAGUAUAAAGAAUUUUGUAUCAAAAUUUCAUCUGAUUUGAAUACUUUUAUAUCGUUAAACUUGAAAACGACAGAUAUCAACCAUUAAAAAUUAUUAAUUUUGAAUCAUUUCGAUUGCUAGGUAAAUGAUAUCGAAAAAUCGCAAAAAUUAUUUUCUAGAAACUUCGAAUACGCUAGAUCAAGUCUAAUGGAGCCGAUCGUCGAUUCGAAAAUUUCAUUAUCGAAAACGGCUCAAGAGUACGAAGGCCUUCGUGCUCCUGAGAGCACAGUAGCCCUGCUCAUAUAUAUAUAUAUAUAUAUAUAUUAACAUUGGAGGUAAUCUUACCAUCAUAUAUAUAAAAUGAUAAAAUUUAAAAAAUUAUUUUUCAAUUGCAUGCAACCAAAAAAUCAUUUAUAGUUGCAGCGUUUUCUACUACAUCCAACCAAGCAGUUUGCAUGUAGUUAUAAUUACUAUAUUUUCAACUGCAUGCAUAUUCAAUUAUGCUGCAUUGAUAAUUACAUUUAACCAAAUGGUCUGUAAAUAGUGAUAAAAUUAUUUUCCUUUUAUUCAGUGGUCCGGUUUAUAGACCAGGUCCAUUGAAGUAUUGUUCGUAAACCGGGGUCCAUCCGUGAGUUGGCACCACCAAAACAAAUAAUUAACAACUCACAAAUCUCUGUAGUUUACAGCUAAUCCCCCCAUUUGAUUAUAAACACUUUGCUAAUUAUAUAACGGGAGAUGGGACGAGCGAAGAUACGAUUUAUUUCUCUCUCUCUCUCUCUCUCUCUCUCUCUCUCUCUCUCUCUCUUCCCCUUCUAUUUUGUUAUUUAAUGCUAUAAUGAUGUGGCAGUUAAUAGCCAUAACAGUGUUUUAAUCUGUUUUUGUACUCGUUUUAUAAUUAAUUUUAUGAUACCGUAUGAAACAGUUUGGCAUCCUGGGCUGCUUUAAAUAACUGAUGUUUUUUCUUUUUAUUUUUUAAGAGAGAGAAAAAUAAUAUGUUAUUUGUUUUGUUUAUUUUUGUUGAAUUAAACUUAGCUACAAAUAUAAAGCAACUUGAUUUCUUAAAUACCAAUCUUCAAGCUUUUCACCAUUUUGAAAAGUUCAAAAUUAGAGAGCAAUGUUGGAGAAGGAGAGUUUAUUGAAAUGGCAAGGUCAGUAGAAUCAGAUUAAGUUAAAUAAUCUUGCUUGAAAUUUGAUAAUCCCAUUGAGACUUUGAGAGAUAUAGAUUCUAAAAAGUUUUAUUGUAUCUUAUAGGGCCUAUCUCUUAACCCAUCACAUUAUGUAAGUUGUUUUUUUUUUUUAGAAAUAAACUUAGUUAGAAAUGUGAAUAAAUUAGGAUUCGAACUUGGGUCUCGGAUAUCAACCACUAAAUCCUUUGCCACUUGCUCUAGGGACAGUCGGUCAUUCUGCAAGUUGUUAAAACCUCUUUAGAUCUGUCAAAUUCAAUCUUAAGUACUAAGCAGAUCCUUUAUCCAUUUGUUCGAUCGUUCCAAUCAACUUAUGCUUUUUUAAAAAUGAUUUUCUUUUCCUAAUCUUUAUUUUUUUUCUUUAUUUUUAGUUGCUUAUGAGCCUCACUACCUUGUAGAAACACCUAAAAAAAAAAAAAAAAAAUAUAUCACAUUUCUGCGCCUCGAGGAUCAAAUUCAAAAUUUAUUGCUUAUGAAAUACCCUAUCUAAGUUAAGCUGGUUUGGUAAUUCAUUAUCUGCCUGAAAUUUCACGCUCUCUCCUCGACAUGAUAGAUCCAAAUUCCUGUGCAAUGCACGUGUGGCCAGUAGUCCAGUAUUAACAAAAGAUAUGAACACCUACAUACAAUAUCUUUCCCUUCUUAGGAUGAUGGCUCCGUUUUUGCACCGUGCCAUGUUUAUUAAAAUAAAAUAAUGGCAAAUGCACAUGCGUUGUUUUAAGCAAGUUAUAAGGUGGGGCACUAGGUAUGUGCUUGUGAACUUCAAUUCUCCCUAUUUAUAUUUUCGCUAAAUUAUAUUUUUUUGAUUCUAAAACUAUGCAGUAAAUAAGAUUUUCGUCCUUAAAUUUUAAUUUAUAAUUUUUUACUUAAAUUUUUUAGAGUAUUCCAAUUUAGUUGCUGUGAUAUAACUGAUAUUUUAAAUACAAGCCUGUCAUAUCAAUAUCACAUCAACGAUAAAUUACUAUUUAAUCAAUUUGAUUGGACGAUAUUAUUUAUUUAUAAUAAUUUAAAAAUUAUAAUAAAUUUAAAUUCAAGGACCAUAAUAUCUCGUGUUUUAUAGUUUGAGGACCAAAAGUGAAAUUCACCCUUACAUUAAUUAAUGGCUAUUGUCCUUGCUUCACGUAAUUAUGCACAAGAUUUUAUUGUUGAUUGAAGCAACCAAGAUCUAGAAAUAUGCAUUAUAUUAUAUCUUAUGCAGGGUGAAUACACAUCACAAAUCUUUGAAUAUGCCAUUAUAAAUGGAAAUCAAAAUUUGUUUACUUCUACCAAGAAUUAUGUAUGCUGUAAUUAACUUAUUCCUCGUAUUUAUCAUUAUUAAAUAUGAGUAUUUUAAAAAUAAAUUUUUUUUUUUACUUCUUGUAUUGCUUUCAUAACAUGAUGUCCCUAUAAUUGCACGGAAAGAAAAAUAAAUAACAAAAGUUUCAACAUACGCUANGGUACUUCAAAUACUCUAGAUCAAGUUUAACGGAGCCGAUCGACGAUUCGAAAGUCGCAACAUCGAAAACGAGCUAGAAGCACGGAAGGCUCCGUGCUUCCGAUAGCAUAGUAGCCUCACUCUAUAUAUAUAUGUUAACAUUGGAGGUAAUCUUACCAUCAUAUAUAUAAAAUGAUAAAAUUUAAAAAAUUAUUUUUCAAUUGCAUGCAACCAAAAAAUCAUUUAUAGUUGCAGCGUUUUCUACUACAUCCAACAAAACAGUUUGCAUGUAGUUAUAAUAACUGUAUUUUCAACUGCAUGCAUAUUCAAUUAUGCUGCAUUGAUAAUUACAUUUAAUCAAAUGGUCUGUAAAUAGUG